GAACGUAUGGUUUAGUGGUUAAAGCUCUUGGACGUUUUCCAAGGGGCGCGGGUUCAAAUAACGCGAAGUUAA
This 72-nucleotide transfer RNA is filed under the name Heliconius melpomene (postman butterfly). Its description in RNAcentral is "tRNA HMEL015192". The record is from RNAcentral. Lineage: Eukaryota; Metazoa; Arthropoda; Insecta; Lepidoptera; Nymphalidae.